RNAcentral lists this ribosomal RNA (253 nucleotides) under uncultured bacterium. Its description in RNAcentral is "partial 16S ribosomal RNA". It matches the Rfam family "Bacterial small subunit ribosomal RNA", at positions 524 to 776 of the family's 1533-position model. The record is from RNAcentral.
GACGAACCGUGCAAACGUUAUUCGGAAUCACUGGGCUUAAAGGGCGCGUAGGCGGGUCGGCAAGUCAGGGGUGAAAGCCCACGGCUCAACCGUGGAAGUGCCUUUGAUACUGCCGACCUCGAGGGAGGUAGGGGCGUGCGGAACUUCCGGUGGAGCGGUGAAAUGCGUAGAUAUCGGAAGGAACACCGGUGGCGAAAGCGGCGCGCUGGAUCUCUACUGACGCUGAGGCGCGAAAGCCAGGGGAGCAAACGGG